This is a long non-coding RNA of Myotis daubentonii (Daubenton's bat), 407 nucleotides long. RefSeq lists it as uncharacterized. The record is from RefSeq and is a predicted model, not a curated record. The transcript has 2 exons. Lineage: Eukaryota; Metazoa; Chordata; Mammalia; Chiroptera; Vespertilionidae.
UGCAUUAGGACACGUGACAAGGCCUGGGGGAGGCCUGAUUCCCUGUGACCACAGGUCCUGGUGGGACAGGGUUCCACUGAGGGACAAGGUCAGAGGAGCAGAGAGGUGACCCGGCCGAGGAGUGACCACGUCAAAGCCCACGAUGCACUGAGCACCACCUGGGCACAGGCCCCGACCACACUCCGUCCUCACAGCCUCUCCCGUCCCCCCUGCAAAGAGCACAAAACACACAGGAAUCUGCAGAAUCCUUGGUGCUUCCAUUUAUUUCCUCUGAGAAAAUAAUUAAUUAAAGGGUCUCCUUUAAUUACCCGUCACCCGUCACGGCAAGAAUGAAAACACCAGGCCAAUCCACAGUCUCAUUUCAAUACAAAGCAGGAAGUGGCAGCUCAGAGCCCCAGGGAGGAAAG